Molecule: ribosomal RNA, 223 nt
Filed under: uncultured bacterium
Lineage: Bacteria
Description: partial 16S ribosomal RNA
Rfam family: Bacterial small subunit ribosomal RNA
Source: RNAcentral
GAUCUGGCUCAGGAUGAACGCUAGCUACAGGCUUAACACAUGCAAGUCGAGGGGCAGCAUGGUCUUAGCUUGCUAAGGCCGAUGGCGACCGGCGCACGGGUGAGUAACACGUAUCCAACCUGCCGUCUACUCUUGGACAGCCUUCUGAAAGGAAGAUUAAUACAAGAUGGCAUUAUGAGUCCGCAUGUUCACAUGAUUAAAAGUAUUCCGGUAGACGAUGGGG